This 429-nucleotide ribosomal RNA is filed under the name Bacteroidota bacterium. Its description in RNAcentral is "Bacteroidetes bacterium partial 16S ribosomal RNA". It matches the Rfam family "Bacterial small subunit ribosomal RNA", at positions 355 to 776 of the family's 1533-position model. The record is from RNAcentral. Lineage: Bacteria; Pseudomonadati; Bacteroidota.
UAGGGAAUCUUCCGCAAUGGACGCAAGUCUGACGGAGCAACGCCGCGUGAGUGAAGAAGGAUUUCGGUUCGUAAAACUCUGUUGUUAGAGAAGAACAGCGCAUAGAGUAACUGUUAUGCGUGUGACGGUAUCUAACCAGAAAGCCACGGCUAACUACGUGCCAGCAGCCGCGGUAAUACGUAGGUGGCAAGCGUUGUCCGGAUUUAUUGGGCGUAAAGCGAGCGCAGGCGGUCAAUUAAGUCUGAUGUGAAAGCCCCCGGCUCAACCGGGGAGGGUCAUUGGAAACUGGUUGACUUGAGUGCAGAAGAGGAUGGUGGAAUUCCAUGUGUAGCGGUGAAAUGCGUAGAUAUAUGGAGGAACACCAGUGGCGAAGGCGACUCUCUGGUCUGUAACUGACGCUGAGGCUCGAAAGCGUGGGUAGCAAACAGG